UACAACCACAUGCAGUAGCUAUAUUAGGUUUAUGCCUGUAAGCUCUUAUGUUUUAGCUAUUCAAUAUAUAUAAUGAAUAGCGUAUAUUUAUAUUACAUAUAUUCAUACAUUUCCAUUAUAAUAUUUUGUAGGUGAUAAAGAAGUGGUAAGUUGCCACCUUAUAUAUACUGUCAAUGGUUGCCACAACUAACCAAAAAGAUGAUUGACGGCCCCUGCUGGUUGAACCUGUGCGUCUGAGACAGAUGGUGAGGAUUCAGCUAGCUAACUGCAGCAGCAUGGCUAAAACACUCUGGAUGGCGUUGUUGGUCCGUCCACCAUUUUGGUCCAGGCUAAAAUAUCCUGCUGCCCAGAGGAUGACGCCUGCUGACCAGAGGUUGGAUCGGAUCACUGUUUUCUAAGACACAAGUAAGUCUCAACUCUCAAAUCAAUACAGGCAAGUUGCAAGUCAAUUCCUAAACAAGUCACAAUGUGCUCUUCAUCCUGCAGUUUGAUUGAAGGCUGUUGGAUUGGUAAAGUGGAUCUGAGGAAUUAAGUGUCGAUGUCCUAACUUGUUUUAGGAAAUGAAGGGAAAUCAACAAAACUGUGGCACUAUUUUUAAAUAAUCUUUGUAUUUGUGAAUAUAUCAACUAUUUUCAAAUCAAAGGCUCAAUGAGGUCACAGUUCACUGGUGUUAAAAUCUAAGUUGAGUUGCAAGUCUUUUACUGUCAAGUCGAGUCCAAACUAAUCAAAUUUGUGACUCGAGUCUGACGUAAAUCCAAGUCAUGUGAUUUGAGUCCACACCUCUGCUCCUUAGUGAGUUUGGAAGUCAGCUUAUUUUUCCUCCCGCCACCAUGAAGUUGAUCAUUUUGUUCUUUAUUGAAUUGUUUCAACAAUUACCAUUUAGUACAGACAUUUAUCAUGCCCAAAAGAUGAAGCCUACUGACUUGUGAUUAUCCAUGACAUUUCCUUUAAUGUCACCAGCAGCUCAAAGUUUAUACACAUCCAGUUAGAUAUCUCAGCGUAAACUGGAUGGAUUGGCACACAGCUAUGUACAAAUAUUCAUGGUUCUUAUGUGUAUUCUGAUGAUGCUCUGACUUUUCCUAUUGUGCCACCAUGAGGUUGACAUUGAUGAUUGAUUCAAGACAUUCAUGUCACAGUGAACUAGAAUUACUUUGUUGAUCUCCUGACGUUUCUAAGCCUCAGCUC
RNAcentral lists this long non-coding RNA (1185 nucleotides) under Dicentrarchus labrax (European seabass). RNAcentral's name for it is "lncRNA (ENSDLAG00005031174.1)". The record is from RNAcentral. Lineage: Eukaryota; Metazoa; Chordata; Actinopteri; Moronidae.